This 501-nucleotide ribosomal RNA is filed under the name uncultured bacterium. RNAcentral's name for it is "partial 16S ribosomal RNA". It matches the Rfam family "Bacterial small subunit ribosomal RNA", at positions 30 to 523 of the family's 1533-position model. The record is from RNAcentral.
AUUGAACGCUGGCGGCAGGCUUAACACAUGCAAGUCGAGCGGAGAGAGGUAGCUUGCUACUGAUCUUAGCGGCGGACGGGUGAGUAAUGCUUAGGAAUCUGCCUAUUAGUGGGGGACAACAUUUCGAAAGGAAUGCUAAUACCGCAUACGUCCUACGGGAGAAAGCAGGGGAUCUUCGGACCUUGCGCUAAUAGAUGAGCCUAAGUCGGAUUAGCUAGUUGGUGGGGUAAAGGCCUACCAAGGCGACGAUCUGUAGCGGGUCUGAGAGGAUGAUCCGCCACACUGGGACUGAGACACGGCCCAGACUCCUACGGGAGGCAGCAGUGGGGAAUAUUGGACAAUGGGCGCAAGCCUGAUCCAGCCAUGCCGCGUGUGUGAAGAAGGCCUUAUGGUUGUAAAGCACUUUAAGCGAGGAGGAGGCUACUUUAGAUAAUACCUAGAGAUAGUGGACGUUACUCGCAGAAUGAGCACCGGCUAACUCUGUGCCAGCAGCCGCCGCGG